UCUGAAUUGCGUACGGCUCCGCACACCAGUUGUAAACCAAAGCAAGCAAGCCUGACCCCGAGGCCUUCACAGGUCAAAGGGCCAGGUUACAAGGAUAACCCUGGUAAUUCUGAGGCUAAUACGUGACACGAACCUGUCGACUGGGGGCUUGCCCCUGGGAAGCGGGGGAUGUGCGACUAUCGGGCCAAAAACAACCGGAAAGAGCGCACGUUCAGACCACUCCAAAAAAGGUCUGCAGGAUCCCUCACGGGGUUUUGUGGAUCUUGUGGCUCUUGCACUGUGCUUCUGACCUAUCAACUAGACGGCAGCUUAAGGGACAUGCUUUGGU
Molecule: ribosomal RNA, 328 nt
Filed under: Lamproderma ovoideum
Lineage: Eukaryota; Evosea; Eumycetozoa; Stemonitida; Stemonitidae
Description: bacterial SSU rRNA
Rfam family: Eukaryotic small subunit ribosomal RNA
Source: RNAcentral